AAAAAAAACAUAAAAACUUGAAAUCAUAUACUUUAUAUGAUAAAUUUAAAAUCUAUAUUAGUAGUAGAAAUUUAAAAUCAUUCAAGAAACGGUAUAACACGGGUGAGAUCUUAAAAUU
This 118-nucleotide small RNA is filed under the name Arabidopsis thaliana (thale cress). RNAcentral's name for it is "ATSL280160". The record is from RNAcentral. Lineage: Eukaryota; Viridiplantae; Streptophyta; Magnoliopsida; Brassicales; Brassicaceae.